CCUACGGGGGGCUGCAGUGGGGAAUAUUGGACAAUGGGGGGAACCCUGAUCCAGCCAUGCCGCGUGUGUGAAGAAGGCCCUCGGGUUGUAAAGCACUUUCAGUGAGGAAGAACGCCUGGUGGUUAAUACCCAUCAGGAAAGACAUCACUCACAGAAGAAGCACCGGCUAACUCCGUGCCAGCAGCCGCGGUAAUACGGAGGGUGCGAGCGUUAAUCGGAAUUACUGGGCGUAAAGCGCGCGUAGGUGGCUUGAUAAGCCGGUUGUGAAAGCCCCGGGCUCAACCUGGGAACGGCAUCCGGAACUGUCAAGCUAGAGUGCAGGAGAGGAAGGUAGAAUUCCCGGUGUAGCGGUGAAAUGCGUUGAGAUCGGGAGGAAUACCAGUGGCGAAGGCGGCCUUCUGGACUGACACUGACACUGAGGUGCGAAAGCGUGGGUAGCAAACAGGAUUAGAUACCCGAGUAGUC
This 465-nucleotide ribosomal RNA is filed under the name Vreelandella stevensii. RNAcentral describes it as "partial 16S ribosomal RNA". It matches the Rfam family "Bacterial small subunit ribosomal RNA", at positions 338 to 795 of the family's 1533-position model. The record is from RNAcentral. Lineage: Bacteria; Pseudomonadati; Pseudomonadota; Gammaproteobacteria; Oceanospirillales; Halomonadaceae.